This 26-nucleotide non-coding RNA is filed under the name Homo sapiens (human). Lineage: Eukaryota; Metazoa; Chordata; Mammalia; Primates; Hominidae. The record is from RNAcentral.
UGGCAGGCAGGAGGUCCUCAGAAGGU